Molecule: long non-coding RNA, 460 nt
Filed under: Drosophila guanche
Lineage: Eukaryota; Metazoa; Arthropoda; Insecta; Diptera; Drosophilidae
Source: RNAcentral
GUUAGAAAGAGAUAAAUGGUAUAGCACGGUUUAUUUACAAUAUUUAUGAAAAGAAAAAUCCUAAUGAUGAAGGAGUAAAGUCAUGGAUAUAAAGAACCACGCUCCUUGAACGAUCAUCAGUAUCAGUUACAAGAAGCCAGCUGCAUUAUGCACGUCCAUCAAAUAAUACUUUUUCUUAUUCAAUUCGAAGAGAUGAUUUUCGAUGAGCAUUUGAAAAUCCUGGAAACCUCCUGGUUAUUUUGGAGGAUCUGGAGGAAAAGGAGCUCCAAUACUCCAAUUUCGGGUUUCACUAUAAGCUGUGCCCCUGGAGCGACAACGAUGCUACCGAUGGACCUGACACAUGUCUUUGUCAUACGUUACCGGAAAAGAAAGCCCAAGCUAUAGACCUCAUGCUUAAAUAUUAUAGAUUAAAUAAAAGAAUGAAUCCAACUCCAAAAAAAUAAAGUAUUUACUUGAAAAU